CACUACAUCAAAAACUAAUGGCGUGCUGUAUGGUGACUAACAUAACACAAUAAAAAAAAAGUAUGUCUCUUAGCCUACUGACCAUUCAAGCAAAUCCUUGAAGUUGGAAGAAGAAAAGAGAAAGUGCAAUGAUCUUUUGCAGAAUGGAGCUGUUCACAGGACUUCAUACCUGGCUAUGAAGAAUGAGGCUCAAGGAAGGACUUCUGUACUAAAAAACCCAGUUCUUGGCAUGGUGGGGGGGGGGGGUUCCUCACUGUGUUUUCAGCUGUAAAGACCAUCUUCCAGCGCACAGUGUUAAGAACCGGGGGGGAAAAAUCCAGGUUUUAUAUGUAUUUUGAAAACAAUCAAUUCAUCUCCCAGAGAUAGGAAUUAUUACCCCCAUUUUACAGCUGAGGAAAUCAAGGCAUUGAGAAGGAAGUCCUUUGCCCAAGAUCAUUCAGCUAGUGACAGACGGAGCGGGAAUCAGAGGCCUGAUCGUGUGAAAUCAAAUCGACGUACUUGAUCUCUGUGUCCUGAUGUCUGUCCCGAUGUUCUCUCUUCCUGUGCCCAUACCCACCUCCCAGAGAUUUAGUGGGUGUUCAUUGCUUGUGACAGGAGUGAACUCUUCCAGACGGGGCUGGAAUCUCCAGUGUAUUUAAUGUGUGUUGUGUUUUACUGACUGGAUCGCAGACCUCUUGAAAGUAUUGCCUCCUGUUUUUGUCCCCCUCUCCCACACUCCAAUAUAUUUUCUUUUGCUUCAUUUUUUCCUGUAUAUUUUAACAUGGAAUACAUGCCUUCACCUAAUCAAUUGUUUGGUCACGUGACUACACAUGCAUUGAGGUGUUCUUUUUCGUCAGUGGCUGUUGGGGUUGCCGUGCCUUUGUUCGUUUGAAGGCUGCUGCUGAGCCAGUCAGCUUAUAUGCACAAGACUGUUGCCAGGAACCACCGGAAGAUUCAGAUUCAGGGGCUUCUGCUCAAACGCAGGGGACCAGAGAUCGUCAGUGAUUGCUGGAAUGUUGAUGGGUGACUUGAAUGUUUUCUGCAAAUCGUCAGAAGGGCCCUGGGACGGAGAGGCUGAAUUCAUUCCUGGCCCCGAGUCCUGCAUUCCUCAGCACAGACCUGAGGAAUGUGCUCCCAGGUGGUGUUGGGGACAGUUUGGAGCUUGGAUGGUCUUGAGAGGGGCUUGGAAAACCCUUUACCUCACCUUACAUCUCCGGGGAGGAUUUGUUACCAACCUCUACUGCCCUUGUGCUCCGCCACUGAUGAUUUAUUCGGGCAAGAGAAAAGGAGAAGGAAGGGGACCCACCGCGUAGGUGACUGGCCUCCCGUGUAAGGUCUGUGGCGGUUCUCCGAUUGAGCCGAUCUUCCCGACCCCUCUGCGCUCACACCUGUCCUGCUGACCACUAGGACGCUCCCAAGCCUUGGACCAAAUACACCACACACUCGGGAACGCCAGCGGCCGAGGCUGGAUGGGCGCACAGUUUUAGUGCAUCGAGUUUGAAGAGUUUGGAGAAUGAACUUUGGAGCCAGUCCAGCCUGGAUUCAAAUCUCAGUGACGUUCCCCCUGAGCCGACAGCCUGAGAAUGUUCCGAAACCUCUGGAUCCCUUGGUUCCUCGUGGAUAAAAUAAGGCUCAUAAGCUUGUUGUGAACAUGAGGUCAGAAAAUGCUUUAGAAUUGUACCCGGACUCAGAGGGAGCCCGAGAGAAAUGAUGUUGAUCCUUUCUCUGUCCUCCUCAUCUUUCCCCUUCCUCUUUUUCAAUAAGACUCUGACCAAUGAUCAACGUGGGACCAAGAUCUGCCCGCCUUUCUCUGCAGCCACGUGGUCCUUUGGAAAGUUCCUCAGGAGGGAGAGGAAAAGAGCAAAGAUGAAAAAGAAAAGCCCCAAAGAGAAACAAAUUCUGCUUGUGUCCUUAUCAUCUUCGUCCCUUCUGUGGCUUCUCAUUUUUCGCUCUCAGGAUAAAGAGCAUGAAGUUUUUAGCCACUGCCUUCAGGGCCCCGUGUGGUCUCGUCCCUCCCACAAUGCCAGCCUUUUUUUUUUUUUUUUUGUCACCAAGCUCUGCCACUGUUUAUGUCUGUGGCUGCACGACCAAUUCUCACCAGCUCUGCCGCUUUAAGUCCACACUCAUUUCUGAUCUCACAGUUUGGGAGGUCCACCUUCAGGUACGGCGUGCCCGGCUUCUCUGUUCAGGGUCGCACAAGGCAGAGUCAUCUUGUUGGCUAGACUGAGACCUUGCCUGAAGGCUCGGAGGGAAAAUCCACUCUCGAAGUUCAGUGGGUUGUGUUGUGUGUUUCUUCUUCCCCUCCCCCAAAUUCAGAAUCAUAGAAUGUGACCCAAUACCGCAAAUUAGACCCAAGCCCAAACCCAGUUACUCAGAAUGUGACCUUAUUUGAACAUAGGGUCCUUACAGAUGUGAUUGAGUUUUAAAAAAAAAAAAGGUCAUAAGGUGAAUCUUAAUCUUAUAGGCCUGGUGUCCUUUGUAAAAGGAAGAAAUGUUCUCACAGAGAGAGACAUGUUAGAGGGAGGAAGGUGUGGAGACACAGGGAGGAGACGAAGGCCAUUGAUGAGCCAAGAAUAGAGAACUAGAGCAGAACUGUCCUUCACAGCCUCCAGAAGGAGCCAAUCCAGAAGGGCAGUGCCUGCCCAUGCCAUAAUCUUGUAUUUCCUGUCUUCUGAAAUGGGCAAUGUUCAAUGUCUAUGUUAUGGCGGCCCUAGGAAAUUAACUGUGGGCAGUUGUGGGUUUCUUACAUGUGUAGGACUGAGCCCCCAUUUCCUGGCUGGCUGCCAGCCAGGUCUGAUCUCAUCUCCAUGAGGUCAUCCAUAUCCCUUGUUACGUAACCCCCCUCCAACUUCAAGACAGAAAUGGUGCAUGGAAUCCUGCUCAUGAUUUGAAUCUCUGACUGCCUCUGUCUCUGACUUCUAGGCUCAUUGAUUAGAUCAGAUCUGCUUAGAUAGUCUUUCUUUCUAAAAGCUAACUGUAUUAUAUAAUAUAACCUAAUCAUGGGAACAAAAUCCACCAUAUUCACAGUCUGAGGCAUUAUGCAGGGUGUGUAUACAACGCAGAGAUGACGACCGUGGGGCCUUUUAGGAUUCUGCCAACUGGGGCCCAAGUUCUGGAAUUUGCCCUCUUCUUUCUCCCACAGCAUCUUGUGCCUGCUGUUCCUGCUCUAGGAUACUCUUCCUUGCACGCCAUCCUCCCAUGACUGACCUUAAAUUCAUAAUUCAGAUCACACUAUGUUUGCUUGUUUGUGUGGAUACAUAACAUUUUCUU
Mustela erminea (ermine) is the source of this 3249-nucleotide long non-coding RNA. RefSeq lists it as uncharacterized. The transcript has 3 exons. The record is from RefSeq and is a predicted model, not a curated record. NCBI's taxonomy places the organism in Eukaryota, Metazoa, Chordata, Mammalia, Carnivora, Mustelidae.